UGACAGUACUCCUACGGGGAGGCAGCAGUGGGGGGAAUAUUGCACAAUGGGCGCAAGCCUGAUGCAGCCAUGCCGCGUGUGUGAAGAAGGCCUUCGGGUUGUUAAAGCACUUUCAGUCGUGAGGAAGGUGGUAGUGUUAAUAGCACUAUCAUUUGACGUUAGCGACAGAAGAAGCACCGGCUAACUCCGUGCCAGCAGCCGCGGUAAUACGGAGGGUGCGAGCGUUAAUCGGAAUUACUGGGCGUAAAGCGCAUGCAGGUGGUUUGUUAAGUCAGAUGUGAAAGCCCGGGGCUCAACCUCGGAAUAGCAUUUGAAACUGGCAGACUAGAGUACUGUAGAGGGGGGUAGGAAUUUCAGGUGUAGCGGUGAAAUGCGUAGAGAUCUGAAGGAAUACCGGUGGCGAAGGCGGCCCCCUCGGACAGAUACUGACACUCAGAUGCGAAAGCGUGGGGAGCAAACAGGAUUAGAUACCCUGGUAG
Molecule: ribosomal RNA, 479 nt
Filed under: uncultured bacterium
Lineage: Bacteria
Description: bacterial SSU rRNA
Rfam family: Bacterial small subunit ribosomal RNA
Source: RNAcentral